Long non-coding RNA from Hermetia illucens (black soldier fly), 942 nucleotides. RefSeq lists it as uncharacterized. The record is from RefSeq and is a predicted model, not a curated record. Lineage: Eukaryota; Metazoa; Arthropoda; Insecta; Diptera; Stratiomyidae. The transcript is spliced from 4 exons.
AACUUACUCGCGAUCUAAGCAGUGUAAUGCAUGACCGGAGAUAAUUUGAUAAUAUACAAGUAGCUGUCAAAUGAAUACCUUUGGACUUUGCAGUUGCUAUUAAAUGUUCCGCGGAAAAAGCGAUUGUUAGUGUCAUCAACUGUUGGCCAGCAUAGCUGAAAAAAUAAUAUUUAUCUUUUGAAACGUGGUUCAACGAAACAAGCCGGAAACCGGAGGCUUAGCACUUCAGGUGUGAAAGAUUUUGAGGAUUUUUUUGUGCAAGAAUAUUUGGGUUGCAUUUGUACACAGCUCUUAAUGUAUAUACAUUAAGGCGCAGCAAUUUGACUCGAAGGCGACAAUUUUGAUCUACUAUAAUUUUGUCAAUAAUAGCAGAAUUUCCACUAAACUUUCCAGUGCGUUGCUACAUAUUAUUGCCUGCAUUGUAGUAAAAUUUUAUGAUUCUAGGAAUUUACAAUAAAUUUUGAAGUGUGAACGAUAUAUACGUAAAGAACCGUGUUUUAUUUUUUUUUUCAGAAACCCUCCAAUUAAAAAAGUGCUACCCAGGUGUACAGUUGUUGGAUGGUGUCCAUAUUUUGCCUAUUAAUGUAAGUCCUGUCAUCGGCUCUUACAGCGUUGCAAACUCGUACUGUGGAACACCUGAGUCUAGCCAUUAAAGUCUUACCCAACACCUCCUCGUCGCGACAUUUGGACAGUAUACUCAUGUAGUCCACAUAGUUGUUAGCGCAGUAACUCCAUUGGCAAAACUCAAAUAGAUUAAAGCACUAAAACUGCCAACUCCCGUGGAAGGUCGCUGUAUGUUCGAGCAGAGAACGACUAGCCGAUAUCCUGUUUACAUACAGAUACUCCUGGCCUAGAAGACAUGAUAGUAUUAUAAGUGUCAGAACAAAAUAAUGAUGUGAAUAUUGAAAAGUAAUGUACAAUAUUGUGGCAAAAGUAGUUCUA